RNAcentral lists this ribosomal RNA (1343 nucleotides) under uncultured bacterium. RNAcentral's name for it is "16S ribosomal RNA". It matches the Rfam family "Bacterial small subunit ribosomal RNA", at positions 28 to 1378 of the family's 1533-position model. The record is from RNAcentral.
GACGAACGCUGGCGGCGUGCUUAACACAUGCAAGUCGAACGGAAAGGCCCUGCUUUUGUGGGGUGCUCGAGUGGCGAACGAGUGAGUAACACGUGAGUAACCUGCCCUUGACUUUGGGAUAACUUCAGGAAACUGGGGCUAAUACCGGAUAGGAGCUCCUGCUGCAUGGUGGGGGUUGGAAAGUUUCGGCGGUUGGGGAUGGACUCGCGGCUUAUCAGCUUGUUGGUGGGGUAGUGGCUUACCAAGGCUUUGACGGGUAGCCGGCCUGAGAGGGUGACCGGCCACAUUGGGACUGAGAUACGGCCCAGACUCCUACGGGAGGCAGCAGUGGGGAAUAUUGCACAAUGGGCGGAAGCCUGAUGCAGCAACGCCGCGUGCGGGAUGACGGUCUUCGGGUUGUAAACCGCUUUCGCCUGUGACGAAGCGUGAGUGACGGUAAUGGGUAAAGAAGCACCGGCUAACUACGUGCCAGCAGCCGCGGUGAUACGUAGGGUGCGAGCGUUGUCCGGAUUUAUUGGGCGUAAAGGGCUCGUAGGUGGUUGAUCGCGUCGGAAGUGUAAUCUUGGGGCUUAACCCUGAGCGUGCUUUCGAUACGGGUUGACUUGAGGAAGGUAGGGGAGAAUGGAAUUCCUGGUGGAGCGGUGGAAUGCGCAGAUAUCAGGAGGAACACCAGUGGCGAAGGCGGUUCUCUGGGCCUUUCCUGACGCUGAGGAGCGAAAGCGUGGGGAGCGAACAGGCUUAGAUACCCUGGUAGUCCACGCUGUAAACGGUGGGUACUAGGUGUGGGGUCCAUUCCACGGGUUCCGUGCCGUAGCUAACGCUUUAAGUACCCCGCCUGGGGAGUACGGCCGCAAGGCUAAAACUCAAAGGAAUUGACGGGGCCCCGCACAAGCGGCGGAGCAUGCGGAUUAAUUCGAUGCAACGCGUAGAACCUUACCUGGGUUUGACAUGGAUCGGGAGUGCUCAGAGAUGGGUGUGCCUCUUUUGGGGUCGGUUCACAGGUGGUGCAUGCCUGUCGUCAGCUCGUGUCGUGAGAUGUUGGGUUAAGUCCCGCAACGAGCGCAACCCUUGUUCACUGUUGCCAGCACGUUAUGGUGGGGACUCAGUGGAGACCGCCGGGGUCAACUCGGAGGAAGGUGGGGAUGACGUCAAGUCCUCAUGCCCCUUAUGUCCAGGGCUUCACGCAUGCUACAAUGGCUGGUACAGAGAGUGGCGAGCCUGUGAGGGUGAGCGAAUCUCGGAAAGCCGGUCUCAGUUCGGAUUGGGGUCUGCAACUCGACCUCAUGAAGUCGGAGUCGCUAGUAAUCGCAGAUCAGCAACGCUGCGGUGAAUACGUUCCCGGG